RNAcentral lists this ribosomal RNA (471 nucleotides) under uncultured bacterium. RNAcentral describes it as "SSU rRNA". It matches the Rfam family "Bacterial small subunit ribosomal RNA", at positions 26 to 518 of the family's 1533-position model. The record is from RNAcentral.
AGGACGAACGCUGGCGGCGUGCUUCAUACAUGCAAGUCGAACGGUGAUCCAUCUUCGGGUGGUGAUCAGUGGCGAACGGGUGAGUAACACGUGAGCAACCUGCCCUCCGCUCUGGGAUAACCCCGGGAAACCGGGGCUAAUACCGGAUAUGAGCUUCCACUGCAUGGUGGGGGUUGGAAAGUUUUUCGGCGGGGGAUGGGCUCGCGGCCUAUCAGCUUGUUGGUGGGGUAGUGGCCUACCAAGGCGGUGACGGGUAGCCGGCCUGAGAGGGUGAUCGGCCACACUGGGACUGAGACACGGCCCAGACUCCUACGGGAGGCAGCAGUAGGGAAUAUUGCGCAAUGGGCGGAAGCCUGACGCAGCAACGCCGCGUGGGGAUGACGGCCUUCGGGUUGUAACCUCUUCAGCAGGAAGAAGCGAAGUGACGGUACCUGCAGAAGAAGGACCGGCUAACUACGUGCCAGCAGCCGC